AUCCCAUCCACCCUCCUUUUACGCAAAAAUUUACUAAUUUUGAAUAGAAGAAAUUACAGCAAAUUCUACUUUUCGUAUGCGUUUGCGAAACGUUCGAUCCUUCGGUCGUUGCGAAGCUAAACCGAUUUCGACAGCUAAAGCACCCAUAAUUACGCACGCACUUAAUACAAAUCUAACUACAAGCAUUGAAAGCAUUGGAAGCAUUGAAAGCAUUGGAAGCAUCGAAAGCAGCUUAAAAUUGUUGUACCUACGAAUUUCAAAACACCCUCUAUAUUCUACCUAAUACAGAGCUCUCAUGGGUUCUAACUACCAUAUAUUUAAACAUAAUGAAGAGACAGAGAGAAUGGGUAUUUUAUAAAAUGAUAUCUUCAGUGUUGUGCAUCGCGAAAUUCUUCUUUACAUGUAUCUGUCCUAUCUAUCAGAGACGUGAACGGGAUCUUUAUAGAUCCUAACUAUCACUAGUCUUGAUACCUUUUUAAAUCCUACUUGUGAGAAAUUUGAAGGUUUCUCCAUUAACCCUAUCGGUCAGGAUUUAGGAAGGUUCUUUUAUAAGUCCUGACCAGAAAAUUUUAAAGAUCCAUCUAUGGGGGUCUGAUAUAAGAAAGAUCUAUUCAUAUAAAGAAAUGGAAUGGGAAAUUGUAUUGUAUAGGGCAUUGUAUAGGGCAAGCGUGGGACGUAAGUGUCCUUCCGUCGAUCUCACAAUAGAUCCUGAAAUAAACUUAAACCAUACAAAAAUUAGUGCACUUCUAUAAAUAUAUAUAGUUAGAUAACAAUAAAAGGGACUCAAAUGUGACUUCUUCAUACAUGUUUCUUCUCCGUAAAUCAUUUUUUUAAAUCCAUACUAUUUCACUUCCUAGUCGUUUGUUCAUAGGUACUUGAGAAGUCGUUAAGAUUUCAUAUGCAUAAUUUAUACUUCCUACAAGUUAAUCAAUCUGGAACAUACUCAUUUAUUGGAUUAGUACAUUAAAAAAAGAACCUGGAAGGAAGACAUAUUAGACACAAGAAGAUAUCAAAUUACCAAGACACGAGAUUCGAUCUAAGAAUUUGAAUUGAAAAAUUUGAAUCUAAAUUUAACUUGGGUUCUUAAUUGAAUUGAAGUUCUAAGAUGAAGGAAGAACAGAUAAAAAUCACCUGGUUUAUUUCUUAACGAUCCAAUUAAUUUGACAACGAGCUUGUAACAACUUCAUUUACCAAAUUGAUUCAUAACCAAUUCAUAUUUAUUAUUUAAGAUAAAUAUUACAAUAACGAAUAUUCAGGUUAUUCAUUCUAAAAAGAUGUACUGAUCAUUCUUGCUUGCGUAUUUUUCAAAUAAAUUAAUAGUGGGAUGAUAUACAAAAAUAUCUUUUUUCCUUUUUGACUACAUUUUUUUACUUUUCCUUAAAUGCAAUAUGAAAUUAUUUAAUGGA
Bombus pyrosoma is the source of this 1406-nucleotide long non-coding RNA. RefSeq lists it as uncharacterized. The record is from RefSeq and is a predicted model, not a curated record. The transcript is spliced from 3 exons. NCBI's taxonomy places the organism in Eukaryota, Metazoa, Arthropoda, Insecta, Hymenoptera, Apidae.